GACGAACGCGGGCGGCGUGCCUAAUACAUGCAAGUAGAACGCUGAAGGAGGAGCUUGCUUUCUGGAUGAGUUGCGAACGGGUGAGUAACGCGUAGGUAACCUGCCUGGUAGCGGGGGAUAACUAUUGGAAACGAUAGCUAAUACCGCAUAAGAGUAGAUGUUGCAUGACAUUUACUUAAAAGGUGCAAUUGCAUCACUACCAGAUGGACCUGCGUUGUAUUAGCUAGUUGGUGGGGUAACGGCUCACCAAGGCGACGAUACAUAGCCGACCUGAGAGGGUGAUCGGCCACACUGGGACUGAGACACGGCCCAGACUCCUACGGGAGGCAGCAGUAGGGAAUCUUCGGCAAUGGACGGAAGUCUGACCGAGCAACGCCGCGUGAGUGAAGAAGGUUUUCGGAUCGUAAAGCUCUGUUGUAAGAGAAGAACGAGUGUGAGAGUGGAAAGUUCACACUGUGACGUAUCUACCAGAAA
This 474-nucleotide ribosomal RNA is filed under the name Streptococcus mitis. Its description in RNAcentral is "bacterial SSU rRNA". It matches the Rfam family "Bacterial small subunit ribosomal RNA", at positions 28 to 489 of the family's 1533-position model. Lineage: Bacteria; Bacillati; Bacillota; Bacilli; Lactobacillales; Streptococcaceae. The record is from RNAcentral.